CCUUCCUUCGCGGGAGGGCGGUGGUUUUCAAUCGUGCCUUAAAAUUCCUUAAAAGCAGGGGGUCUCCCCUCCGCGAGAGGCGGUUGGCAGAGUGCGUGAAUAAACCGGCUAUUAGGCUGAUGCUUCAAGUAACACUAUCCGGCACCAAGGUACAAAAUGUCGGUAUUGGACUCUGAUCUUGUGAUGCCAGUAUGAUAAUAAUUACUGUUUUACAUUAACGAUGUCUUGGUUCUUACAGCUCGGUUAUUCAAUUUAUAGCUAGAAUAGUUGAAGAUCCCCUAGGAUAAGGUUGUGAAGCUGAUACUAGUAUUACCCCAUCGGUUUUGUUGUUUUUAUAUUAAUGGGGGCUCCCCUCUUCUUGUCUGAGGUAGAGAAAGGGCUUAUGGAUUAAGACUUCCCCUCCCCCUGCUAUUUUAUCUCUCUUAAUGUGCAUGCGUUUUAAUGGUAUUAAAUAAAGGUGAUGACCUCUU
Molecule: long non-coding RNA, 470 nt
Organism: Colius striatus (speckled mousebird)
Lineage: Eukaryota; Metazoa; Chordata; Aves; Coliiformes; Coliidae
Exons: 2
Source: RefSeq, a predicted model, not a curated record